GGUAAUAGCUCACUGGUAGAGUACAUGCUUAGCAUGCUUGAAGGCCUGGGUUCAAUUCUCAGCACUUCCA
This 70-nucleotide transfer RNA is filed under the name Camelus bactrianus (Bactrian camel). It matches the Rfam family "tRNA". From Rfam's summary of the family: Transfer RNA (tRNA) molecules are approximately 80 nucleotides in length. Their secondary structure includes four short double-helical elements and three loops (D, anti-codon, and T loops). Further hydrogen bonds mediate the characteristic L-shaped molecular structure. tRNAs have two regions of fundamental functional importance: the anti-codon, which is responsible for specific mRNA codon recognition, and the 3' end, to which the tRNAs corresponding amino acid is attached (by aminoacyl-tRNA synthetases). tRNAs cope with the degeneracy of the genetic code in two manners: having more than one tRNA (with a specific anti-codon) for a particular amino acid; and 'wobble' base-pairing, i.e. permitting non-standard base-pairing at the 3rd anti-codon position. The record is from Rfam by way of RNAcentral. Lineage: Eukaryota; Metazoa; Chordata; Mammalia; Artiodactyla; Camelidae. RNAcentral also lists the same sequence under 2 other names.